RNAcentral lists this long non-coding RNA (95 nucleotides) under Castor canadensis (American beaver). Its description in RNAcentral is "Pvt1 onco conserved region 3 (ENSCCNG00000003515.1)". It matches the Rfam family "Pvt1 oncogene conserved region 3". Lineage: Eukaryota; Metazoa; Chordata; Mammalia; Rodentia; Castoridae. The record is from RNAcentral.
UCUGUCUGUCAGCCGUGCCUGCUGGUUGACUGGAAUACAGAUCGGGGAUUUUCUGAGCUCAGUGGAUUUACAGUGAGAUUCGGCUGCCUGUGGAG